Molecule: ribosomal RNA, 2907 nt
Filed under: Klebsiella grimontii
Lineage: Bacteria; Pseudomonadati; Pseudomonadota; Gammaproteobacteria; Enterobacterales; Enterobacteriaceae
Description: 23S ribosomal RNA
Rfam family: Bacterial large subunit ribosomal RNA
Source: RNAcentral
GGUUAAGCGACUAAGCGUACACGGUGGAUGCCCUGGCAGUCAGAGGCGAUGAAGGACGUGCUAAUCUGCGAAAAGCGUCGGUAAGGUGAUAUGAACCGUUAUAGCCGGCGAUGUCCGAAUGGGGAAACCCAGUGCAAUUCGUUGCACUAUCGUUUGAUGAAUACAUAGUCAAACGAGGCGAACCGGGGGAACUGAAACAUCUAAGUACCCCGAGGAAAAGAAAUCAACCGAGAUUCCCCCAGUAGCGGCGAGCGAACGGGGAGCAGCCCGGAGUCUGAAUCAGCUUGUGUGUUAGUGGAAGCGUCUGGAAAGUCGCAGGGUACAGGGUGAUACUCCCGUACACUAAAGCACACAGGCUGUGAACUCGAAGAGUAGGGCGGGACACGUGGUAUCCUGUCUGAAUAUGGGGGGACCAUCCUCCAAGGCUAAAUACUCCUGACUGACCGAUAGUGAACCAGUACCGUGAGGGAAAGGCGAAAAGAACCCCGGCGAGGGGAGUGAAAAAGAACCUGAAACCGUGUACGUACAAGCAGUAGGAGCCUCUUUAUGGGGUGACUGCGUACCUUUUGUAUAAUGGGUCAGCGACUUAUAUUCUGUAGCAAGGUUAACCGUAUAGGGGAGCCGCAGGGAAACCGAGUCUUAACUGGGCGUUAAGUUGCAGGGUAUAGACCCGAAACCCGGUGAUCUAGCCAUGGGCAGGUUGAAGGUUGGGUAACACUAACUGGAGGACCGAACCGACUAAUGUUGAAAAAUUAGCGGAUGACUUGUGGCUGGGGGUGAAAGGCCAAUCAAACCGGGAGAUAGCUGGUUCUCCCCGAAAGCUAUUUAGGUAGCGCCUCGUGAACUCAUCUUCGGGGGUAGAGCACUGUUUCGGCUAGGGGGUCAUCCCGACUUACCAACCCGAUGCAAACUACGAAUACCGAAGAAUGUUAUCACGGGAGACACACGGCGGGUGCUAACGUCCGUCGUGAAGAGGGAAACAACCCAGACCGCCAGCUAAGGUCCCAAAGUCAUGGUUAAGUGGGAAACGAUGUGGGAAGGCCCAGACAGCCAGGAUGUUGGCUUAGAAGCAGCCAUCAUUUAAAGAAAGCGUAAUAGCUCACUGGUCGAGUCGGCCUGCGCGGAAGAUGUAACGGGGCUAAACCAUGCACCGAAGCUGCGGCAGCGACACUAUGUGUUGUUGGGUAGGGGAGCGUUCUGUAAGCCGUUGAAGGUGGCCUGUGAGGGUUGCUGGAGGUAUCAGAAGUGCGAAUGCUGACAUAAGUAACGAUAAUGCGGGUGAAAAACCCGCACGCCGGAAGACCAAGGGUUCCUGUCCAACGUUAAUCGGGGCAGGGUGAGUCGACCCCUAAGGCGAGGCCGAAAGGCGUAGUCGAUGGGAAACAGGUUAAUAUUCCUGUACUCGGUGUUACUGCGAAGGGGGGACGGAGAAGGCUAUGUUGGCCGGGCGACGGUUGUCCCGGUUUAAGCAUGUAGGCGGAUGUUCCAGGUAAAUCCGGAACGUUACUAACGCUGAGGUGUGAUGACGAGGCACUACGGUGCUGAAGUGACAAAUGCCCUGCUUCCAGGAAAAGCCUCUAAGCAUCAGGUAACAUCAAAUCGUACCCCAAACCGACACAGGUGGUCAGGUAGAGAAUACCAAGGCGCUUGAGAGAACUCGGGUGAAGGAACUAGGCAAAAUGGUGCCGUAACUUCGGGAGAAGGCACGCUGAUAUGUAGGUGAAGUGGUUUACCCAUGGAGCUGAAAUCAGUCGAAGAUACCAGCUGGCUGCAACUGUUUAUUAAAAACACAGCACUGUGCAAACACGAAAGUGGACGUAUACGGUGUGACGCCUGCCCGGUGCCGGAAGGUUAAUUGAUGGGGUUAUCCGUAAGGAGAAGCUCUUGAUCGAAGCCCCGGUAAACGGCGGCCGUAACUAUAACGGUCCUAAGGUAGCGAAAUUCCUUGUCGGGUAAGUUCCGACCUGCACGAAUGGCGUAAUGAUGGCCAGGCUGUCUCCACCCGAGACUCAGUGAAAUUGAACUCGCUGUGAAGAUGCAGUGUACCCGCGGCAAGACGGAAAGACCCCGUGAACCUUUACUAUAGCUUGACACUGAACACUGGUCCUUGAUGUGUAGGAUAGGUGGGAGGCUUUGAAGUGUGGACGCCAGUCUGCAUGGAGCCAUCCUUGAAAUACCACCCUUUAAUGGCUGGUGUUCUAACGUGGGCCCGUUAUCCGGGUUGCGGACAGUGUCUGGUGGGUAGUUUGACUGGGGCGGUCUCCUCCUAAAGAGUAACGGAGGAGCACGAAGGUCAGCUAAUCCUGGUCGGACAUCAGGAGGUUAGUGCAAUGGCAUAAGCUGGCUUGACUGCGAGCGUGACGGCGCGAGCAGGUGCGAAAGCAGGUCAUAGUGAUCCGGUGGUUCUGAAUGGAAGGGCCAUCGCUCAACGGAUAAAAGGUACUCCGGGGAUAACAGGCUGAUACCGCCCAAGAGUUCAUAUCGACGGCGGUGUUUGGCACCUCGAUGUCGGCUCAUCACAUCCUGGGGCUGAAGUAGGUCCCAAGGGUAUGGCUGUUCGCCAUUUAAAGUGGUACGCGAGCUGGGUUUAGAACGUCGUGAGACAGUUCGGUCCCUAUCUGCCGUGGGCGCUGGAGAAUUGAGGGGGGCUGCUCCUAGUACGAGAGGACCGGAGUGGACGCAUCACUGGUGUUCGGGUUGUCAUGCCAAUGGCAUUGCCCGGUAGCUAAAUGCGGAAGAGAUAAGUGCUGAAAGCAUCUAAGCACGAAACUUGCCCCGAGAUGAGUUCUCCCUGACUCCUUGAGAGUCCUGAAGGAACGUUGAAGACGACGACGUUGAUAGGCCGGGUGUGUAAGCGCAGCGAUGCGUUGAGCUAACCGGUACUAAUGAACCGUGAGGCUUAACCUU